AUUUUUAUGAUGUAAAAAACAUACUACAUUUUCAUUGUAGAAUUGAAAUAUAGUAUUUCUAAAAAUA
Molecule: transfer RNA, 67 nt
Filed under: Tetralia glaberrima
Lineage: Eukaryota; Metazoa; Arthropoda; Malacostraca; Decapoda; Tetraliidae
Also listed under: 1 other name
Description: tRNA-Glu
Source: RNAcentral